This 66-nucleotide transfer RNA is filed under the name Cryptocephalus schaefferi. RNAcentral describes it as "tRNA-Tyr". The record is from RNAcentral. Lineage: Eukaryota; Metazoa; Arthropoda; Insecta; Coleoptera; Chrysomelidae.
GGCAAGAUGACCGAAUAACAGGUGUUAAAUUGUAAAUUUAAAUAUGAAGAGUUUCUUCUCUUGCCA